UAGGGUGCAAGCGUUAUCCGGAUUUACUGGGUGUAAAGGGCGAGUAGACGGCGUUGCAAGUCAGAUGUGAAAGGCUAGGGCUCAACCUUAGGAGAGCAUCUGAAACUGUAAUGCUAGAGUGCAGGAGAGGUAAGCGGAAUUCCUAGUGUAGCGGUGAAAUGCGUAGAUAUUAGGAGGAACACCAGUGGCGAAGGCGGCUUACUGGACUGUAACUGACGUUGAGGCGCGAAAGUGUGGGGAGCAAA
RNAcentral lists this ribosomal RNA (245 nucleotides) under uncultured bacterium. RNAcentral describes it as "partial 16S ribosomal RNA". It matches the Rfam family "Bacterial small subunit ribosomal RNA", at positions 528 to 772 of the family's 1533-position model. The record is from RNAcentral.